AAAAAAGGUAAGCUACUAAGAGCGAAUGGUGGAUGCCUUGACUGGUAAAGGCGAUGAAGGACGUACUAGACUGCGAUAAGCUACGGGGAGCUGUCAAGAAGCUUUGAUCCGUAGAUUUCCGAAUGGGGCAACCCAAUGUAUAGAGAUAUACAUUACCUAUAUAGGAGCGAACGAGGGGAAUUGAAACAUCUUAGUACCCUCAGGAAAAGAAAUCAAUAGAGAUUGCGUCAGUAGCGGCGAGCGAAAGCGCAAGAGGGCAAACCCAGUGCUUGCACUGGGGGUUGUAGGACUGCAAUGUGCAAGAGGUGAGUUUAGCAGAACAUUCUGGAAAGUAUAACCAUAGAGGGUGAUAGUCCCGUAUGCGAAAAACAAACCUUAGCUAGCAGUAUCCUGAGUAGGGCGGGACACGAGAAAUCCUGUCUGAAGCUGGGUCGACCACGAUCCAACCCUAAAUACUAAUACCAGAUCGAUAGUGCACAAGUACCGUGAGGGAAAGGUGAAAAGAACUGAGGUGAUCAGAGUGAAAUAGAACCUGAAACCAUUUGCUUACAAUCAUUCAGAGCCCUAUGUAGCAAUACAGGGUGAUGGACUGCCUUUUGCAUAAUGAGCCUGCGAGUUGUGGUGUCUGGCAAGGUUAAGCAAACGCGAAGCCGUAGCGAAAGCGAGUCUGAAUAGGGCGCUUAGUCAGAUGCUGCAGACCCGAAACGAAGUGAUCUAUCCAUGAGCAAGUUGAAGCUAGUGUAAGAACUAGUGGAGGACUGAACCCAUAGGCGUUGAAAAGCCCCGGGAUGACUUGUGGAUAGGGGUGAAAGGCCAAUCAAACUUCGUGAUAGCUGGUUCUCUCCGAAAUAUAUUUAGGUAUAGCGUUGUGUCGUAAUAUAAGGGGGUAGAGCACUGAAUGGGCUAGGGCAUACACCAAUGUACCAAACCCUAUCAAACUCCGAAUACCUUAUAUGUAAUCACAGCAGUCAGGCGGCGAGUGAUAAAAUCCGUCGUCAAGAGGGAAACAACCCAGACUACCAGCUAAGGUCCCUAAAUCUUACUUAAGUGGAAAACGAUGUGAAGUUACUUAAACAACCAGGAGGUUGGCUUAGAAGCAGCCAUCCUUUAAAGAAAGCGUAAUAGCUCACUGGUCUAGUGAUUUUGCGCGGAAAAUAUAACGGGGCUAAAGU
This 1172-nucleotide ribosomal RNA is filed under the name Campylobacter coli. RNAcentral's name for it is "partial 23S ribosomal RNA". It matches the Rfam family "Bacterial large subunit ribosomal RNA", at positions 1 to 1188 of the family's 2925-position model. Lineage: Bacteria; Pseudomonadati; Campylobacterota; Epsilonproteobacteria; Campylobacterales; Campylobacteraceae. The record is from RNAcentral.